RNAcentral lists this ribosomal RNA (271 nucleotides) under uncultured bacterium. RNAcentral describes it as "partial 16S ribosomal RNA". It matches the Rfam family "Bacterial small subunit ribosomal RNA", at positions 524 to 794 of the family's 1533-position model. The record is from RNAcentral.
UACGUAGGGUGCAAGCGUUAAUCGGAAUUACUGGGCGUAAAGCGCGUGUAGGCGGUUCGGUAAGUUGGAUGUGAAAGCUCCUGGCUUAACUGGGAGAGGUCGUUCAAAACUACCGGACUUGAGAGUGGUAGAGGGAGUUGGAAUUCCGGGUGUAGUGGUAAAAUGCGUAGAUAUCCGGAAGAACACCAGUGGCGAAAGCGGCUACCUGGACUGAUACUGACACUGAGGUGCGAAAGCGUGGGGAGCAAACAGGAUUAGAUACCCCAGUAGU